RNAcentral lists this ribosomal RNA (292 nucleotides) under uncultured bacterium. Its description in RNAcentral is "partial 16S ribosomal RNA". It matches the Rfam family "Bacterial small subunit ribosomal RNA", at positions 505 to 796 of the family's 1533-position model. The record is from RNAcentral.
GUGUCAGCCGCCGCGGUAAUACGAAGGGUGCAAGCGUUAUCCGGAUUCAUUGGGUUUAAAGGGUGCGUAGGCGGGGUGAUAAGUCAGUGGUGAAAUCUUGCGGCUUAACCGUAAAAUUGCCAUUGAUACUGUCAUUCUUGAGUAGGCUCGACGUGGGCGGAAUGUGCCGUGUAGCGGUGAAAUGCUUAGAUAUGGCACAGAACACCGAUAGUGAAGACAGCUCACGAGGGCCAAACUGACGCUGAGGCACGAAAGCGUGGGGAUCGAACAGGAUUAGAAACCCUCGUAGUCC